This 399-nucleotide ribosomal RNA is filed under the name uncultured eukaryote. Its description in RNAcentral is "SSU rRNA". It matches the Rfam family "Eukaryotic small subunit ribosomal RNA", at positions 587 to 972 of the family's 1831-position model. The record is from RNAcentral.
AGCUCCAAUAGCGUAUAUUAAAGUUGUUGCAGUUAAAAAGCUCGUAGUCGGAUUUCGGGUCGGGCCGAGCGGUCUGCCGAUGGGUAUGCACUGUUUGGCGCGGCCUUCUUUCCGGAGACCGCGGCUACUCUUAACUGAGCGGGCGUGGGAGACGGAUCGUUUACUUUGAAAAAAUCAGAGUGUUUCAAGCAGGCAGCUCGCUCUUGCAUGGAUUAGCAUGGGCCUCACCCACCCCUGCGGAUAAUUGAAUAGGACUCUGGUGCUAUUUUGUUGGUUUCGAACACCGGAGUAAUGAUUAACAGGGACAGUCAGGGGCACUCGUAUUCCGUCGAGAGAGGUGAAAUUCUCAGACCAAUGGAAGACGAACCACUGCGAAAGCAUUUGCCAGGGAUGUUUUCA